CACGUGGGCAAUCUGCCCUGCACUCUGGGACAAGCCCUGGAAACGGGGUCUAAUACCGGAUAUUGACCUUCACGGGCAUCUGUGAGGUUCGAAAGCUCCGGCGGUGCAGGAUGAGCCCGCGGCCUAUCAGCUUGUUGGUGAGGUAAUGGCUCACCAAGGCGACGACGGGUAGCCGGCCUGAGAGGGCGACCGGCCACACUGGGACUGAGACACGGCCCAGACUCCUACGGGAGGCAGCAGUGGGGAAUAUUGCACAAUGGGCGAAAGCCUGAUGCAGCGACGCCGCGUGAGGGAUGACGGCCUUCGGGUUGUAAACCUCUUUCAGCAGGGAAGAAGCGAAAGUGACGGUACCUGCAGAAGAAGCGCCGGCUAACUACGUGCCAGCAGCCGCGGUAAUACGUAGGGCGCAAGCGUUGUCCGGAAUUAUUGGGCGUAAAGAGCUCGUAGGCGGCUUGUCACGUCGGUUGUGAAAGCCCGGGGCUUAACCCCGGGUCUGCAGUCGAUACGGGCAGGCUAGAGUUCGGUAGGGGAGAUCGGAAUUCCUGGUGUAGCGGUGAAAUGCGCAGAUAUCAGGAGGAACACCGGUGGCG
RNAcentral lists this ribosomal RNA (590 nucleotides) under Streptomyces sp. SCAUEA11. Its description in RNAcentral is "bacterial SSU rRNA". It matches the Rfam family "Bacterial small subunit ribosomal RNA", at positions 114 to 717 of the family's 1533-position model. Lineage: Bacteria; Bacillati; Actinomycetota; Actinomycetes; Kitasatosporales; Streptomycetaceae. The record is from RNAcentral.